This 382-nucleotide ribosomal RNA is filed under the name Clostridioides difficile. RNAcentral's name for it is "bacterial SSU rRNA". It matches the Rfam family "Bacterial small subunit ribosomal RNA", at positions 147 to 547 of the family's 1533-position model. Lineage: Bacteria; Bacillati; Bacillota; Clostridia; Peptostreptococcales; Peptostreptococcaceae. The record is from RNAcentral.
CAUACCGAAAGGUAUGCUAAUACGGGAUAAUAUAUUUGAGAGGCAUCUCUUGAAUAUCAAAGGUGAGCCAGUACAGGAUGGACCCGCGUCUGAUUAGCUAGUUGGUAAGGUAACGGCUUACCAAGGCGACGAUCAGUAGCCGACCUGAGAGGGUGAUCGGCCACAUUGGAACUGAGACACGGUCCAAACUCCUACGGGAGGCAGCAGUGGGGAAUAUUGCACAAUGGGCGAAAGCCUGAUGCAGCAACGCCGCGGGAGUGAUGAAGGCCUUCGGGUCGUAAAACUCUGUCCUCAAGGAAGAUAAUGACGGUACUGGAGGAGGAAGCCCCGGCUAACUACGUGCCAGCAGCCGCGGUAAUACGUAGGGGGCUAGCGUUAUCCG